RNAcentral lists this non-coding RNA (76 nucleotides) under Paenibacillus senegalensis. RNAcentral describes it as "Cyclic di-GMP-II riboswitch". The stretch from base 6 to 73 matches the Rfam family "Cyclic di-GMP-II riboswitch aptamer", at positions 9 to 76 of the family's 84-position model. The record is from RNAcentral. Lineage: Bacteria; Bacillati; Bacillota; Bacilli; Caryophanales; Paenibacillaceae.
UAAUAUGGGAGCGAUGAAAUCCAUUCUUUAUGUGGGCACUUGGAAUGGACGGAGCUAGUAGUGCAACCGACCAACU